This 566-nucleotide ribosomal RNA is filed under the name uncultured bacterium. RNAcentral describes it as "bacterial SSU rRNA". It matches the Rfam family "Bacterial small subunit ribosomal RNA", at positions 28 to 636 of the family's 1533-position model. The record is from RNAcentral.
GAUGAACGCUGGCGGUAUGCUUUACACAUGCAAGUCGUACGAGAGUUUUGAACUCAAGUGGCGGACGGGUGAGUAACACGUAAGAAUUUGCCUUUAGGAGGGGGACAACAACUGGAAACGGUUGCUAAUACCCUAUAUGCUUUCGAGUGAAACGGUUUUUCCGCCUAAAGAGAAGCUUGCGGCUGAUUAGCUUGUUGGUAAGGUAAUGGCUUACCAAGGCGACGAUCAGUAUCUGGUUUGAGAGGACGAUCAGACACACUGGAACUGAGACACGGUCCAGACUCCUACGGGAGGCAGCAGUGGGGAAUUUUCCGCAAUGGGCGAAAGCCUGACGGAGCAAUACCGCGUGAGGGAUGAAUGCCUAUGGGUUGUAAACCUCUUUUUUCAGGGAGGAAUCAAUGACGUUACCUGAAGAAUAAGCAUCGGCUAACUCCGUGCCAGCAGCCGCGGUAAGACGGAGGAUGCAAGUGUUAUCCGGAAUCACUGGGCGUAAAGCGUCUGUAGGUGGUUUGAUAAGUCAACUGUUAAAUCUUGAGGCUCAACCUCAAAACCGCAGUCGAAACUAU